AACGCAUAUUGCGCCCUCUGGUAUUCCGGUGGGCAUGCCUGUUCGAGCGUCAUUGAACACCCCUCAAGCUCCGCUUGGUGUUGGGCGCCCGUCGCGGGAGCGACGCGCCCGAAAUGAAUAUUGGCUGCGGGGUCCCACUCCGAGCGCUGCGAGGCGUACCAACGUCAUGCGUUACGGAGGAGGGCCUGGCGGGGCCAGCAAACAACAAGGUGCGCCGCUCUGCGGUGCCACUCCUCGUUUGACCUCGGAUCAGGUAGGGUUACCCGCUGAACUUAA
RNAcentral lists this unclassified non-coding RNA (276 nucleotides) under uncultured fungus. RNAcentral describes it as "partial contains 5.8S ribosomal RNA, internal transcribed spacer 2, and large subunit ribosomal RNA". Lineage: Eukaryota; Fungi. The record is from RNAcentral.